GGUUGUGGCUCAGUGGUAGAGCGCUUGCCUAGCAAGUGCAAGGCUCUGGGUUCGAUCCUCAGCACCA
RNAcentral lists this transfer RNA (67 nucleotides) under Marmota monax (woodchuck). RNAcentral's name for it is "tRNA.Ala". It matches the Rfam family "tRNA". Rfam says of the family: Transfer RNA (tRNA) molecules are approximately 80 nucleotides in length. Their secondary structure includes four short double-helical elements and three loops (D, anti-codon, and T loops). Lineage: Eukaryota; Metazoa; Chordata; Mammalia; Rodentia; Sciuridae. The record is from RNAcentral.